RNAcentral lists this ribosomal RNA (1175 nucleotides) under Bacillus spizizenii. RNAcentral describes it as "bacterial SSU rRNA". It matches the Rfam family "Bacterial small subunit ribosomal RNA", at positions 34 to 1176 of the family's 1533-position model. Lineage: Bacteria; Bacillati; Bacillota; Bacilli; Caryophanales; Bacillaceae. The record is from RNAcentral.
CGUUAGGGCGUUCCUAAUCAUGCAGUCGAGCGGACAGAUGGGAGCUUGCUCCCUGAUGUUAGCGGCGGACGGGUGAGUAACACGUGGGUAACCUGCCUGUAAGACUGGGAUAACUCCGGGAAACCGGGGCUAAUACCGGAUGCUUGUUUGAACCGCAUGGUUCAAACAUAAAAGGUGGCUUCGGCUACCACUUACAGAUGGACCCGCGGCGCAUUAGCUAGUUGGUGAGGUAAUGGCUCACCAAGGCAACGAUGCGUAGCCGACCUGAGAGGGUGAUCGGCCACACUGGGACUGAGACACGGCCCAGACUCCUACGGGAGGCAGCAGUAGGGAAUCUUCCGCAAUGGACGAAAGUCUGACGGAGCAACGCCGCGUGAGUGAUGAAGGUUUUCGGAUCGUAAAGCUCUGUUGUUAGGGAAGAACAAGUACCGUUCGAAUAGGGCGGUACCUUGACGGUACCUAACCAGAAAGCCACGGCUAACUACGUGCCAGCAGCCGCGGUAAUACGUAGGUGGCAAGCGUUGUCCGGAAUUAUUGGGCGUAAAGGGCUCGCAGGCGGUUUCUUAAGUCUGAUGUGAAAGCCCCCGGCUCAACCGGGGAGGGUCAUUGGAAACUGGGGAACUUGAGUGCAGAAGAGGAGAGUGGAAUUCCACGUGUAGCGGUGAAAUGCGUAGAGAUGUGGAGGAACACCAGUGGCGAAGGCGACUCUCUGGUCUGUAACUGACGCUGAGGAGCGAAAGCGUGGGGAGCGAACAGGAUUAGAUACCCUGGUAGUCCACGCCGUAAACGAUGAGUGCUAAGUGUUAGGGGUUUCCGCUCUCUUAGUGCUGCAGCUAACGCAUUAAGCACUCCGCCUGGGGAGUACGGUCGCAAGACUGAAACUCAAAAGGAAUUGACGGGGGCUCGCAACAGCCGUGGAAGCAUGUGGCUUUAAUUCGAAGCAACGCGAAGAACCCUUUACCAGUCUUGACAUUCCUCUGACCAUUCCUAGAAGAAUAGAACGUUCCUCCUUUCCGGGGGCAAAGUUGACCAGUCGUGCCAUGAUGGUCGUCAGCUCGUGUCUGGAAAUGGUUGGGCUAAGUCCCGCACCGAGCGUCAACUCUUGAUCUAGUUUGGCAGGCAUUUCAGUUGCACUCAAGGUGAACCUGACUCGAUUGCACAAUACCGGAAGGUUG